RNAcentral lists this unclassified non-coding RNA (356 nucleotides) under soil metagenome. Its description in RNAcentral is "partial contains 5.8S ribosomal RNA, internal transcribed spacer 2, and large subunit ribosomal RNA". The stretch from base 1 to 120 matches the Rfam family "5.8S ribosomal RNA", at positions 35 to 154 of the family's 154-position model. The record is from RNAcentral.
GAUGAAGAACGCAGCGAAAUGCGAUAAGUAAUGUGAAUUGCAGAAUUCAGUGAAUCAUCGAAUCUUUGAACGCACAUUGCGCCCGCCAGUAUUCUGGCGGGCAUGCCUGUCCGAGCGUCAUUUCAACCCUCGAACCCCUCCGGGGGGUCGGCGUUGGGGACCUCGGGAGCCCCUAAGACGGGAUCCCGGCCCCGAAAUACAGUGGCGGUCUCGCCGCAGCCUCUCCUGCGCAGUAGUUUGCACAACUCGCACCGGGAGCGCGGCGCGUCCACGUCCGUAAAACACCCAACUUCUGAAAUGUUGACCUCGGAUCAGGUAGGAAUACCCGCUGAACUUAAGCAUAUCAAAAGGGAGGA